GAUGAAGAACGUAGUAAAAUGCGAUACUUGGUGUGAAUUGCAGAAUCCCGUGAACCAUCGAGUUUUUGAACGCAAGUUGCGCCCGAAGCCUUUUGGCCGAGGGCACGUCUGCCUGGGCGUCACGCAUCGCGUCGCCCCCCACAAUUCUCCGUAAAGGGAACAUGUGUUUUGGGGGCGGAUAUUGGUCUCCCGUGCUCAUGGCGUGGUUGGCCGAAAUAGGAGUCCUUUCGAUGGACGCACGAACUAGUGGUGGUCGUAAAAACCCUCGUCUUUUGUUUCGUGCUGUUGGUCGCAAGGUAAACUUUUUAAAAACCCCAAUGUGUCGUCUCUUGACGACGCUUCGACCGCGACCCCAGGUCAGGCGGGACUACCCGCUGAGUUUAAGCAUAUCAAUAAGCGGAGGA
RNAcentral lists this unclassified non-coding RNA (404 nucleotides) under soil metagenome. RNAcentral's name for it is "partial contains 5.8S ribosomal RNA, internal transcribed spacer 2, and large subunit ribosomal RNA". The stretch from base 1 to 122 matches the Rfam family "5.8S ribosomal RNA", at positions 35 to 154 of the family's 154-position model. The record is from RNAcentral.